CAGACUUCAAACACGGCUCCUGCCGGCUGGGCCUGGAGCCCUGCUCCGAAAAAGGAAAUGACUUCAGCCCCUGCUGCAAGGGCUGCAGCGAGAGGCUCAUCUGCAGCUGCAAUUCCUGCAUAAUCUCCAGAGGAGUGAGGGUAGGGUUUAAGAAGAAAUCUCUGCAGUAACACAGGGAGAAACACAACCUGAUAACUCCUGACAGAUUGAUGGCUUCCUCCUUCACCUCAAUCUUUAUAGAUUAGCACGUCCAUUUCCUUUUCAUGGAUAUGUUUGUUAGCACUGCAUGAUCUAGCCUAAUCUGUGUGGGAAGUUAUUUAUCCAAGGGCUGUGGGGCAUUUAUACCGUUCACUUGUCACCCAGAAUAAUGGAGAGGACAGGUAAGAUAAUUCCAGCUGUAUUAAGGGCUGAGAGAUGACUGUUUGUGUUUUGGUAAUGGGACGCUCAGAGUGAAGGAUCUGAAAUGGUCUUGUAACAUAUUUCCUGAAAGCACCCAUUUUAAAUGGAUUUCAUUCCUUUUAUUCCCCUGUUUCAUGAGGGUGCCUGCGGUUGCUCUGGGAGAAGGAGACAUCAAUUGCCACGUAGGGGUGGCCCAAGGACUUGUGAGGAAAGAUGCACCAAAGGAGCCUUUCCUGCCGUCCUGCUGCUUCGCCAGAUGUUCUCCAUUUGCUGCCUGUGCAGUGAUUUCUCCUCUCUAGGCAUCCUGGAACUGCCUUCAUCUCGCUGAUUUCACAGCACUCCCACGGCAUCAAGAGCACUUUGAAUUCUGCUCCCGUCCUCCAGAGCUCACAAUCACUGCCAGCCUCCUGUCACCCACGAGUGCCAUCAGCCUCUCCUCUGGGCUGGAGCAGGAGCUCCCCGAGUCCCCACCAGCCUCUCGUCUUCCAGGGGACCCCGGUGGCCAGGGCUGGCGAGGUUCAGGGAUUCGUUGUGACCCUGUGAGGUUUCCCUCAGACUGUGCUUUCGGAGUUUCCCUGGCAGUGUGUUUGAGGAGCACCGUGACACGCCUUGGUGGUGGCUCACACGCCCUUGGUGGUGGCCAUUUGCCCCCCAGGACCUUCUCUCCCCACACUUCCCUGACCAAGCCCUCCUUAAAUUUGCAUUUUAGUUUUUAUUAUUUAUUCUCGAGACAUUUAUAAACCUCUGCUGGCUCUGUCUCCUGGGCCACCAUCUAAUCUUCCAGGUGAUGACAACUUGAUUGGUGAAUAAUAGAUUCCAGUCUCUCCCCAGCUGCUGAAUGGAGCUAUAAUUUCUAAAUGCAUCCUUGAAGAAGGAGCAGAGCUUUUCCUUCUCCAGGGGUUGGUUUUUAAUCAGCCCAGUUGUCUUUUCAGUGUUGAAAACUUCUUUUUGUUGUAAUAUGCAAAAAAACCCAAACCUGGAAAUGAACCAUUUUUCUUGUAUUAGUGUGAAGAUUAGGGCCCCAAUGUUUUGGAUGCUGCAGAAAUCCUAUAAGUGAUCAUCUGCUCUGGAAAACUUUCAUAUUAAGCAGGCAAGGUAAGCAACUGAAAAGACUGAAAACAGACACCAGGGGAUUGAAUGAAUUGCUGAGGCAUAGAUCAGUGUCACACUGGAGAUUAAAAGUCAGUCUCUCUGAAACCCAGAACAAAACUUUCCUGUUGCUCUGAUCGCUUUUUUUGAUGGGCUGUGGAAAAUACAGAAAAAGGAAACUGGUCCCUUGAAAACAUUCCAGGUUGGAGAAUGAUAUGGAAUGGGAUGGGCUGUCCAG
RNAcentral lists this long non-coding RNA (1726 nucleotides) under Chloebia gouldiae (Gouldian finch). RNAcentral's name for it is "Erythrura gouldiae (Gouldian finch) lncRNA (ENSEGOG00005008593.1)". Lineage: Eukaryota; Metazoa; Chordata; Aves; Passeriformes; Passeridae. The record is from RNAcentral.